Molecule: ribosomal RNA, 264 nt
Filed under: uncultured bacterium
Lineage: Bacteria
Description: partial 16S ribosomal RNA
Rfam family: Bacterial small subunit ribosomal RNA
Source: RNAcentral
UUAGUGGCGGACGGGUGAGUAACGCGUGGGUAACCUGCCUCACACUGGGGGAUAACAGUUAGAAAUAGCUGCUAAUACCGCAUAAGCGCACGGUUCCGCAUGGAACAGUGUGAAAAACUCCGGUGGUGUGAGAUGGACCCGCGUCUGAUUAGCCAGUUGGCGGGGUAACGGCCCACCAAAGCGACGAUCAGUAGCCGGCCUGAGAGGGUGAACGGCCCACAUUGGGACUGAGACACGGCCCAAACUCCUACGGGAGGCAGCAUG